This 65-nucleotide transfer RNA is filed under the name Hylica paradoxa. RNAcentral's name for it is "tRNA-Pro". The record is from RNAcentral. Lineage: Eukaryota; Metazoa; Arthropoda; Insecta; Hemiptera; Cicadellidae.
CAGUAAUUAGUUUAAUUAAAAAAUUUAAGUUUUGGGUAUUUAAGAUAAUUAUGUUUUAUUACUGA